GAGGUGGGGUUGCUCAGUACAGUGCCUUGAGCAGCAUUCCAGACCAGAGACAUCUGCAUGGUCUUUGCUGGUAACAUGGGCCUGGGACAUCAACACAGACUCCAGCUGCCAUAGGACCACAGACACCGAAGCAUGGGCCUGAUGUCCUCAUGGCCUCAGGUGACAGUGCAGGUGAAUCAGAUACUUUCCUUUAAGCAAGAGGUAUGCCACUCUUUACAAGGAUGGAUGAGAUGAGAGAUACACAACACAGCCAGGAAUGGAGGAGAAAGCCAUUUCCUGUCGACUCUGUGCCAGUAGUUGUGCUGGGAAGCUGUGAGAGAGAUCCAGAGAUCAUCAUGUAAAUUCAAUGAGGAGAGAUGAAUUCCAAAGGGUGACUAGAUGACAAUAUCAUCAACUUCCUGCCCUCUGGAUCUCCCAACGAGAUCAGUGGAAAUCAUCUUUAAUGUGACCACUCCGGGAAAGGCGAAGCCUCCAGCUCCAAAGGCAGCUCUUCAAAGAGAGCUGAGUUACAGAAUGCAGGAACCUAGCAUGGCUGUCCUUUGAAAGGCUCUUCCAGUAGCUGAAUGAGACAGAUGCAGAUUCUCACAGCCAAGCAUUGGACUGAAGUUGGGGACCCCUCAGGAAGUGUUGGGGGAAGGACUGAAGGGGCUGGCAACCCCAUAGGAAGAUCAACAAUGUCGACUAAUGUGGACCCUGAGAACUCCCAGAGACUGAGCCACCAACCAAAAAGCAUACACAGCUGGUCUGAAGCCCCAGGCAUGUAUGUCACAGAGGACUGCCUUGUCUGGCCUCAGAAGAAGAUGCACUUAAUCCUGUAGAGGCUUGAUGCCCCAGGGAGAGGGACGUCUGGGGAAGUACCCUCUCAGAGGAAUCCUGAAGUAAGGAGAAGUUCCCUUGUUUUCAGUGAAUUAAAAACACUUCGUGGUUUGAGGAUAAGGAGGGGCAGGUAUUUGUUUCUUGAGAAUGACGAGCCUGAAGGAAUUGUGCCCACUUUGCUGUAAGAGUGUGCUUGCUGGCAGGACCUUAAGGAAGUAGAUGGAAGCACAGCCUCAGCCUGGCCUACCAAGGAUUUCUCUUAUGGGCUAGGAAGAAAGGAGUGUCUGAUUGUGCAGGAGCAACGGUUCAGUAUUUAUUUCCCUGUAAUUCCCAGAACUGGUGUCGACUUUAGUGUAGCUCAUCACACUGCGAGACGAGUUCCAUACCUGCAAGUAGCGGACGACUCUGCAGACCAGAGAGGAUUUCGGCUAUGACGAGGAGGAAGCGAUGGUCCCAGGAGAGGGCUUGCUAGAGUAAAGCAAGUACUGUGAGAAGACGAAAGAAGACAAAGCUGAAGGCCGGAAAUGCUUGGGUAAUUCAUCUGUCCCACACUGUGUCAGCUACCAUCUUAUUGCUUGCCUAACAUGGGCGAAGCCAGACUACUGGAAGUUUUGAAUCUUGGUUUGUCUCAAGGAACACUUGCUUUUUACUUAAAUUUUGUGUUUUUGAGAAUUUCAUAUGUGAAUACCGUACUUACAUAAUUUUCCCUCCCCCCACCGAGUUCCAACUCCCUUCAUGUUCCCUACCUGCAAAAUUCAUGGCCUUUUUAAAAUUUUUUAUUAUUUUAAACACACACACAGACACACACACACGCACACACACACACACACACAAUUGAUAAACUAUUAGAGGUCUUAUUCCUGGAGAGAACCUUUUCUCUCAGCAUCCAUUUAUUGCUUUAGUGUUGUAGAAUUAAUAUAGCUUCCCAGUGAGAAAUCGCUCCAUACACUUAGAGGUUAGUUAAGAAAAAGCUCUUUAAUAAUAGUGUGCAUCCAGCUCUGGCUAAUGUUCAGAGGAGUUGGCAUUGAACAGAAAGUCUUACCAGGUUAUAUAGGCCUUAGACUCAUGCAUUCCACAUACUGUUAUUCUUAAGUCUCUUCCUGCCCAGGACCCUCUUUUUAUACAAUGUAAACAGAGGCUGUACUGCCCACUUGGGCAGAUGGGAGAUUGACACAGCAGGGAUACUCCCAUAAUUAUUUAAGUGUACCCAAAUUGCUCCUUUCACAUAGUUGUUACCCAGGUUCAUCUUGCUCACCUGACAGAUUAUGCUUUGUUUGAUACGAACACAGGGAGCCUAAUGGCAGACAAGGACCUGGUGGUGGUUGUGACCCUGAGCAGAUGUUGAUUCAGUGAUGAGCCUAAUAGCUGGUGAUAAGUCAGGCUUAUAUCAUUUUGUUUUAGGAAUGGAGCCUAAGGAGAAGUCAGUCUUGGCGAAGAAACACUAGCAGCAACUUUCUUAUACCUCUACACUUCAAUUGUACAAAAUAUCCUUACAGUUUCUUAAAUGCCUGGCUACUACAUUAUUAUCUCUCAUGCCUAUUGAAAGGAACACUCCUUUAGCUACACUUUUUGUGUAAUUUAUCAUUUCUGUGCACACUUAUUAAUACAUUAUUUACAGCAUCAAUUUUACUACGUUGAGUUUUCCUGCAUCAGUAGCUCUUUAUCUAAAAGUGAUGAAAUGCUUAUUAUAGUAUUGUGACUUAAACUCAGGAUCACAAAUUCUAGAAAUGUGCUCUAACAUAAGCUACACUCAGGCCUUGUUCAUUUUUAUUCAAAUAUAUGUGCUGUUUAAAAUAAUGGGUCUCAACAUCUUAUUUUCAGACUUGUAUCUACCAUGCUUUAAAAAUAUUUAUGUUAUCUCUUGUUACAUAUCUCUAUGAAAUUUAUUUGCAUUUUAAAAUACCUCCUUUAACUAAUCAUUAUAUUCUUAUGCCCCACUCAAAUAUAGACAUAAUAUAUAAGAGAAAAUGUAUUUUUCUUUCUGUGUCUGGUUUAUUUUACUUAACACAACUAUAUCUGGACCUAUAUGUAUUUGUACAGAUGAUAGUUUGGUUUUUUAUGGAUAAAUCUAUACUGGCAUAUAUAAUAUGUAUAUGCACCACAGUGUAAAAACCCAUUUCUCAGCUGAUAGACACUAAGGCUGUUGCUAUACUGACUUUGAUUCAUAUACUUUGGACUGGCAAACCUGUGUUAUAUGGUGUGUGUGUGUGUUCUAGUUUCAUUUCAAUUGUGAUAAAACAUCCUGACAAACUUAGGGAGGAAGGUCUGAUUUACCUCCAGCUCCAAGUUAUGUCCCAUCUUUGAGUAAAUGUCAAGGCAGAAAUUCAUGCAGCCACUCUAGUGACAUCCAUAGUAAAGAGAGAAAAGAAUGAACACAUGUCUGCUUUCUUGCAACUUCUGCUCAGCUGGCAUUCUCCAUUUUUACAGUGCCUAGCCAGUGAAAAGGAUCUACCCACAUUCAGGACCCAUCUUCCCACCUCAAUUAACAAUCAAUACAAUUCUCCAUAGAUGUGCUCUCAGGCCAAUCUGAUUUAGAUUCAUCCUCAUUUAAGACUUCCUUCUCAGGUGAUUCUAGGUUAUGAUAAGUUGACCUUUAAAGCCAAUUAUCUCAUUUAUCAUUAUGAGGAAUGUCCAUGCUGAUUUUCAUAGUAGUGGAACUAAUUUAUAUUUCCACCAGAGGUGUACAAGGGUCCCGUUUUCUUGAAUCUUGGCAGCAUUUCUUCUUACAUCACAACACAGACAGUUGCUGUGACACUGUUUGGAAUGGGGUUGUUUUGCUCAGAAGGAGUUACCUCCCAGCCUUUCUCUGUAGCCAGUCUUUUGCUACUUUGUGGAUUCUUGU
This is a long non-coding RNA of Mus caroli (Ryukyu mouse), 3658 nucleotides long. RefSeq lists it as uncharacterized. The record is from RefSeq and is a predicted model, not a curated record. Lineage: Eukaryota; Metazoa; Chordata; Mammalia; Rodentia; Muridae.